CCUACGGGUGGCAGCAGUGAGGAAUGUUGGUCAAUGGACGAGAGUCUGAACCAGCCAAGUAGCGUGAAGGAUGACUGCCCUAUGGGUUGUAAACUUCUUUUAUAUGGGAGUUAAAUGUUCUAUGUGUGGGAUUUUGUAUGUACCAUAUGAAUACGGAUCGGCUAACUCCGUGCCAGCCGCAGCGGUUAUUCGGAGGAUCCGAGCGUUAUCCGGAUUUAUUGGGUUUAAAGGGUGCGUAGGUGGAUUGUUAAGUCAGUUGUGAAAGUUUGCGGCUCAACCGUAAAAUUGCAGUUGAAACUGGCAGUCUUGAGUACAGUAGAGGUGGGCGUAAUUCGUGGUGUAGCGGUGAAAUGCGUAGAUAUCACGAAGAACACCGAUUGCGAAGGCAGCUCACUGGACUGCAACUGACACUGAGGCUCGAAAGUGUGGGUAUCAAACAGGAUUAGAUACCCCGGUAGUC
Molecule: ribosomal RNA, 460 nt
Filed under: uncultured bacterium
Lineage: Bacteria
Description: partial 16S ribosomal RNA
Rfam family: Bacterial small subunit ribosomal RNA
Source: RNAcentral